GGUUUCCUAGUGUAAUGGUUAUCACAGCGGAUUUUGAUUCCGCUAAUCUGGGUUCGAUUCCCGGGGAGACCU
Molecule: transfer RNA, 72 nt
Rfam family: tRNA
About the family: Transfer RNA (tRNA) molecules are approximately 80 nucleotides in length. Their secondary structure includes four short double-helical elements and three loops (D, anti-codon, and T loops). Further hydrogen bonds mediate the characteristic L-shaped molecular structure. tRNAs have two regions of fundamental functional importance: the anti-codon, which is responsible for specific mRNA codon recognition, and the 3' end, to which the tRNAs corresponding amino acid is attached (by aminoacyl-tRNA synthetases). tRNAs cope with the degeneracy of the genetic code in two manners: having more than one tRNA (with a specific anti-codon) for a particular amino acid; and 'wobble' base-pairing, i.e. permitting non-standard base-pairing at the 3rd anti-codon position.
Source: Rfam